UGAGUGAGGGCCCUCUGGGUCCAACCUCCCACCGUGUUUAUUGUACCUUGUUGCUUCGGUGCGCCCGCCUCACGGCCGCCGGGGGGCUUCUGCCCCCGGGUCCGCGCGCACCGGAGACACUAUUGAACUCUGUCUGAAGAUUGCAGUCUGAGCAUAAACUAAAUAAGUUAAAACUUUCAACAACGGAUCUCUUGGUUCCGGCAUCGAUGAAGAACGCAGCGAAAUGCGAUAACUAAUGUGAAUUGCAGAAUUCAGUGAAUCAUCGAGUCUUUGAACGCACAUUGCGCCCCCUGGUAUUCCGGGGGGCAUGCCUGUCCGAGCGUCAUUGCUGCCCUCAAGCACGGCUUGUGUGUUGGGCUCCGUCCCCCCGGGGACGGGUCCGAAAGGCAGCGGCGGCACCGAGUCCGGUCCUCGAGCGUAUGGGGCUUUGUCACCCGCUCUGUAGGCCCGGCCGGCGCCAGCCGACAACCAAUCAUCCUUUUUUCAGUUGACCUCGAUCAGGUAGGGAUACCCGCUGAACUUAAGCAUAUCAAUAAGCGGGAGG
RNAcentral lists this ribosomal RNA (544 nucleotides) under Penicillium glabrum. RNAcentral describes it as "eukaryotic LSU rRNA". The stretch from base 172 to 325 matches the Rfam family "5.8S ribosomal RNA". The record is from RNAcentral. Lineage: Eukaryota; Fungi; Ascomycota; Eurotiomycetes; Eurotiales; Aspergillaceae.